GUCCACGCCGUAAACGUUGGGCACUAGGUGUGGGACUCUAUCGACGGGUUCCGUGCCGUAGCUAACGCAUUAAGUGCCCCGCCUGGGGAGUACGGCCGCAAGGCUAAAACUCAAAGGAAUUGACGGGGGCCCGCACAAGCGGCGGAGCAUGUGGCUUAAUUCGAUGCAACGCGAAGAACCUUACCUGGGUUGAACUAUGCAGGAAAAGCCACAGAGAUGUGGUGUCCUUCGGGGUCUGCGAUAGGUGGUGCAUGGCUGUCGU
This 262-nucleotide ribosomal RNA is filed under the name uncultured bacterium. RNAcentral's name for it is "partial 16S ribosomal RNA". It matches the Rfam family "Bacterial small subunit ribosomal RNA", at positions 793 to 1055 of the family's 1533-position model. The record is from RNAcentral.